CCUACGGGAGGCAGCAGUGAGGAAUAUUGGUCAAUGGGCGGGAGCCUGAACCAGCCAAGCCGCGUGAGGGAAGAAGGUACAGCGUAUCGUAAACCUCUUUUGUCAGGGAACAAAGGCGGGGACUAGUCCCCGGAUGAGUGUACCUGAAGAAAAAGCAUCGGCUAACUCCGUGCCAGCAGCCGCGGUAAUACGGAGGAUGCGAGCGUUAUCCGGAUUUAUUGGGUUUAAAGGGUGCGCAGGCGGUCUGUUAAGUCAGCGGUCAAAGCCCGGGGCUCAACCCCGGCCCGCCGUUGAAACUGGCAGUCUCGAGUUGGAGAGAAGUAUGCGGAAUGCGCGGUGUAGCGGUGAAAUGCAUAGAUAUCGCGCAGAACUCCGAUUGCGAAGGCAGCAUGCCGGCUCCACACUGACGCUGAGGCACGAAAGCGUGGGUAUCGAACAGGAUUAGAUACCCCGGUAGUC
This 459-nucleotide ribosomal RNA is filed under the name uncultured bacterium. RNAcentral's name for it is "partial 16S ribosomal RNA". It matches the Rfam family "Bacterial small subunit ribosomal RNA", at positions 338 to 795 of the family's 1533-position model. The record is from RNAcentral.